RNAcentral lists this long non-coding RNA (260 nucleotides) under Homo sapiens (human). RNAcentral's name for it is "non-protein coding lnc-PRM1-3:1". Lineage: Eukaryota; Metazoa; Chordata; Mammalia; Primates; Hominidae. The record is from RNAcentral.
UAAAGCAUCGGUUGAACAUCCAAAUGGCCAGGCUGUGAUUUCAGCGUCCAGUUACGAGUGCACUAUAAAAAGCACCGUUCUAGUACCAAAAAUGUGACUGGUGAGAAUAUAGGACAACUUCUUGCAGAGCCAGGCUUAAGGCAGGAAUCAACUUCAUGGUCUACCAGCCAGACCCUUGGGAGGCAGCCUUGGACUCGAUGAGACAACUAUGAAGUGCCAAGACAGGAGGUGCUGUGGCUCCACAGGAACCUCGGAGAAUC